Non-coding RNA from Podarcis lilfordi (Lilford's wall lizard), 74 nucleotides. The record is from the annotation of a GenBank genome assembly. NCBI's taxonomy places the organism in Eukaryota, Metazoa, Chordata, Lepidosauria, Squamata, Lacertidae.
UACUUUAUAGCUCAGUCAGUAGAGCAUGAGACUCUUCAUCCCAGGGUCAUGGGUCUGAACCCCAGUUGGGGGAA